ACACGGCUGAAGAGUAUCACUGGGAAGGAAGUGGGCUCGUGAGAUAAUCCAAUCCAGUGCUUCCCAGCCUUUAAUGAGAAAUGGUAAACCAGUGUGAGGAAGAGCACGGAUUCUGGAGUCAGACGGCCGUCCAGUGAUGGAAUUCUGGCUCUGCCACUAUCAGCUGUCCUGCAUGAAGGGAUUCCUUAGGAUCUGUCUUCCUGGGGAGCACCACACUGCAGGUGACACCACCCGUGGGCCUGAGGGGUGAAGACAGGCAGCUGUUGUGAGUCACGCACAGAGCUUGGGCAUGUGGUCUAAGCAGGCCGAGCCUAUGCAUGAGAGCCCACUCAGGAGCUGGGGUGAGAAGAGGAGGGGGCAGGCCAGAGGCCAGGAGCGUCCUGCACUGCUACAUACUGUGCUGUUAACCUCACGGUGCCCAGAAAUUUUACAUUUGAACCUUGUCUUCAGGUCAUGAUGAAGGUAUAUUUGCAAAGGCAGGAGGAUAUGGACAUAUUUAUCAGUUUGGUGAGCAACUUUUAAAUAUUUAAACCUAUGGUGCGUGGGCCUCCAUGUGCGCUCUUGCCUGGGGCCCCGCAAAUGUUAGGGGCACAACUGACUGCUACAAUUGUAUAUGUUUUUCAUUGCAUCAGCCACUCUAUGGAAGAUCCCAUAUUCUACCACGUUGAAUAUCUGCUCUUUCCCAAGAGUCAUAUUUACAUGGCUUCAUUUUUAUGAGGAAUGAAUGAGAAAGUUUUAUGGCUUCUAAAAAUUUCAUUUUUAGAGACAGGGUCUUACUCUGUCACCCAGGCUGGAGAGCAGUGCUAUAAUCAUAGCUCAGUGCAUCUUGGAACUCCUGGGUUCAAGCCAUCCUCCUGCCUCAGCCUCCUGAAGAGCUUGGAUGAUAGGUAUGCACCAGGCCCUGCUUCUUAUAUUUAUUCUUUAAGGGAAGUUCAAAACAAACGUAAAGAAACAACAGCCUGUGGGCCACUGGACAUCAGAGUGUAGUUCAUCGGGGCGAAGAGGCUUGUUUUAGAGUCAGUGCGGCCCUCGGAAUGGUCACGUUGGCCCCUCAGAAGCAGAAGUUGGUUGAUCCCUGUUCCAAUGCUCAGCCACUAAUGAGCCUCAGCUGCUCCCUCCAUCUCAGCUUCUGUGCCUUUCUUUAGAUUAUUAUCAAACACAUGUGUUUAUUUAGCUUCUCAUGUAUUUCUUAUUUUCUGCCCCGCUUAACAGCUAAGGUGUGCGUUCCUUGAGAGUAGAGGCUAUGUCUAAUAUCUCUGUUUCUGGCAUAGAACUGAACACAUAAGCAUAGCUUAGGAAUAUUUGUUAACUGGGUCAUCAAGGUGUCUGACAGGACGAAGUAAGUUUGGUUUCUAACAUAGUUUUAGAUGUUCUGAAUUCUUCUAAAAAUAAUACAUUUGAAAACAACCCUUUAUUUCAAACAGUGGUUUAUCUCUGACUCUAAAACUGAUGGAUUUCAAAGUACAUGGUUUCUUGACCAGGUUUUUAAGGUGGCUCAUUACUCUACAGACACAGUCUUAAAGCGGCUUCCUCAACGGCUUGACUCACUAACCUUGCUGAAUGUCCAUGACGAGUAGAACUCGGUGUAUUCAUUUUUUAACUGAUACAUAAUAGUUGUACAUAUUGAUGAGGUACAUGUGAUAUUUUGAUUUGUGCAUACGAUGCUUAAUAAUCAAAUUAGAGUAUUUAGGAUAACCACCGCUUCAAACGUUUCUCAUUCUCUGUGUGUCCUUGAUACAAGUAAUUUCUCUUUUAGAAAUUCAACCUAAGGAAACCAAGCAGAGUCCACCUUUAAGCCCAGGAUGACAGGAGUGACGACAUCUGCUUUGACAAGCAGUCAUAAAAGUAUGUUUUUAAAUAAAUUCCAGCUUCAUGGGAAAA
Long non-coding RNA from Homo sapiens (human), 1881 nucleotides. RefSeq lists it as uncharacterized. NCBI's taxonomy places the organism in Eukaryota, Metazoa, Chordata, Mammalia, Primates, Hominidae. The record is from RefSeq and is a predicted model, not a curated record. The transcript has 2 exons.